Molecule: long non-coding RNA, 1896 nt
Organism: Mesoplodon densirostris (Blainville's beaked whale)
Lineage: Eukaryota; Metazoa; Chordata; Mammalia; Artiodactyla; Ziphiidae
Exons: 4
Source: RefSeq, a predicted model, not a curated record
UCCCGGAGAGCGGAGUCCACGGGAAGGAUGGCGAAGGAAAAGGAAGACGUGGAGCAGGAAUUAAAGACGAAGGGAACGGGGCGAGAGGAAAGAGGCAGCCGGGACAGCGCAGUGGUCGCCUCGGAAUUCUCGACACUAAAGGUGUCAGAAAUCGUGGUGCGCACAGGAGAUAUUCCUUUGAAUUUGGCACAAUUUCAGAUUCCGGUGGAGGGGACAGAUAAGUAAAGGAACAUUUAAAGCUGGAGCCACUUUGCUGUACAGCAGUAAUUAACACAACAUCGUAAAUCAACUAAACGUGAGGAGACUGAUCCUCAUCCCCUCUCCAAGGGAUGAUAAACCAGCUAAAUUGAAGCCAAGGUCAGUACCCUUUUUAGGAAGGUGACGAGGCGCGAGGACAAACACUUGGCGGGAAAGGAGUGUCGUAGAGACGGACGGAUGCAGAAAGGAGAGGUGGCGUGGAGGAAGGAACAGACAGACCUGGACUGGAGCGAGUGCUGCAUCCACCCUUAUUAGCCUCACCGGCAAGCGUCUUAACCCUUAGGAUCCUCAGUUUCUCUGUUUGUAAACUGAGGGUAAACAUACCUCCAAUUCUGCUGUAUUAGAGACAAUGGACGUCAAAUCCCUGGUGCAUUGAAUCCAUCUUCAGUGGUAACACAAACUUCCUAGCUUCACAGGGGCUGUUUCUCACCAAGUCUCAAAGCUCCCUACCCCAGUGACUAAAAAUGGUUCUAAAAUGACAUCAAAUGGGACAAAGGCGGGUGGCUGACUCUUUGUUCUGAGGUUUUGUUCAGAGCUUGACAAGCUUUGCAGAGAGCUCCCAAGAAGAUGCCAGCCCACGAAAGUUGUCAUUGGUCCAGAUGCACGGAUUCAGUCUCUCCACUUAGCAACAGUAUUUGCCUCCUGCUUCAGAAAAGGAAACAAAAAAGUAAGCCUGCAGUUAAAUACACCCACAAGGGCAAAUCCCCAUGAAAGCCUGUCAAAAAAGAGCUGUGGGAAAGAUGAGCUAUUGCUGUACGCCUGGGUGAACUCCAAUGAGGAAGCCACAAGGGGGAGGGAGGAUGGGCACAGGGGCUUGUCAGUUGCAGCCCCCCAAAGGGUUUCAGCCUUUCCCUCCUCCGGAUUCCCACUGCCCCACGACUGCCCUCAUUGACAUUGUUCCUGGACUAUUUUAACUGCUUCCUAAUUCAUUCGCCUGUCCUGCCAUUUACAAGGGACUCUAUACUAUCACUGUCAAAUUAAACAACUGCCUUUUGGGGGGUGGCUGUUGACCUUUCAUUGCAGGAGAAAUCUUUCUAAAGCGUGGGUCUGAUCUCAUCACUCCUCUGCUUAAAAGCUGUCAGUGUACUUUGUCUGUAUUAUGCUCCAGGUUAGUAGUUUCCCCUGGGCACUGGUCACUUGCCUGCCUGGCUGUCUCCCGCAUCACACUUUCGGAGGGAGGGCACUCAGGGGCCCCUGCCACCUAUCAGAGCCAUUGGAUGCAUCACUUUCUCUCAGUCACAUUAAUCUUCAUUCAAUUCCUCAAAAGCUUUCCCUCACUGCUGGGUCUUCUCACAUCUUGUUUCCUUUGCUGGAACGUUAACCCUUUGACGCCUCCCCUAGCAAAUGCCUCAUCCUUAUUUUGCACAUUCCCCGCCCCCCGAAAGGCUUCUCUGAACCCCCAGAUGAGGCUAGCGCCCCAGCCUCCUUCCCACGUGUUGUCUGAUGAGCCCCGCAACCUGGACUGAUGCCCCCAGUAACCUUUCACCAUCCAUAGACACAUUACAUUAUAAAUAAAUAGCAUUUGAAAAAAAAUUAACUCUUUACUAUGUUGACUUCAAAAUGUAAAUUCUAAAGCAAAACAUGACAAUCCAAAUUAUAGAGGUAAUAGUCUGUCUUAAAUCUUUGAAGCACACCUUA